Molecule: ribosomal RNA, 442 nt
Filed under: uncultured bacterium
Lineage: Bacteria
Description: partial 16S ribosomal RNA
Rfam family: Bacterial small subunit ribosomal RNA
Source: RNAcentral
CCUACGGGAGGCUGCAGUGGGGGAUAUUGCACAAUGGGGGAAACCCUGAUGCAGCGACGCCGCGUGGGCGAAGAAGUAUUUCGGUAUGUAAAGCCCUAUCAGCAGGGAAGAAGAAAUGACGGUACCUGAGUAAGAAGCACCGGCUAAAUACGUGCCAGCAGCCGCGGUAAUACGUAUGGUGCAAGCGUUAUCCGGAUUUACUGGGUGUAAAGGGAGUGCAGGCGGCACGGCAAGCCUGAUGUGAAAGCCCGGGGCCCAACCGCGGGACUGCAUUGGGAACUACCGGGCUGGAGUGCCGGAGAGGUAGGCGGAAGUCCUAGUGUAGCGGUGAAAUGCGAAGAUAUUAGGAGGAACACCAGUGGCGAAGGCGGCCUACUGGACGGUGACUGACGCUGAGGCUCGAAAGCGUGGGGAGCAAACAGGAUUAGAUACCCGAGUAGUC